AGCGAACGCUGGCGGCAGGCCUAACACAUGCAAGUCGAACGAACCUUUCGGGGUUAGUGGCGGACGGGUGAGUAACACGUGGGAACGUGCCUUUAGGUUCGGAAUAACUCAGGGAAACUUGUGCUAAUACCGAAUGUGCCCUUCGGGGGAAAGAUUUAUCGCCUUUAGAGCGGCCCGCGUCUGAUUAGCUAGUUGGUUGAGGUAAUGGCUCACCAAGGCGACGAUCAGUAGCUGGUCUGAGAGGAUGAUCAGCCACAUUUGGACUGAGACACGGCCCAAACUCCUACGGGAGGCAGCAGUGGGGAAUCUUGCGCAAUGGGCGAAAGCCUGACGCAGCCAUGCCGCGUGAAUGAUGAAGGUCUUAGGAUUGUAAAAUUCUUUCACCGGGGACGAUAAUGACGGUACCCGGAGAAGAAGCCCCGGCUAACUUCGUG
RNAcentral lists this ribosomal RNA (434 nucleotides) under uncultured bacterium. Its description in RNAcentral is "partial 16S ribosomal RNA". It matches the Rfam family "Bacterial small subunit ribosomal RNA", at positions 29 to 507 of the family's 1533-position model. The record is from RNAcentral.